This 201-nucleotide ribosomal RNA is filed under the name uncultured bacterium. RNAcentral describes it as "partial 16S ribosomal RNA". It matches the Rfam family "Bacterial small subunit ribosomal RNA", at positions 524 to 725 of the family's 1533-position model. The record is from RNAcentral.
UACGGAGGGUGCGAGCGUUGUCCGGAAUCAUUGGGCGUAAAGGGCGCGUAGGUGGCGGGACAAGCGUGCGGUGAAAGCUCGGGGCUCAACCCCGCGUCGGCCGUGCGAACUGUUUGCUUGAGCACUGUAGAGGCAGGCGGAAUUCCGGGUGUAGCGGUGGAAUGCGUAGAGAUCCGGAAGAACACCGGUGGCGAAGGCGGC